GGGGGUGUAGCUCAGUGGUAGAGCGCGUGCUUCGCAUGUACGAGGCCCCGGGUUCAAUCCCCGGCACCUCCA
Molecule: transfer RNA, 72 nt
Organism: Camelus ferus (Wild Bactrian camel)
Lineage: Eukaryota; Metazoa; Chordata; Mammalia; Artiodactyla; Camelidae
Rfam family: tRNA
About the family: Transfer RNA (tRNA) molecules are approximately 80 nucleotides in length. Their secondary structure includes four short double-helical elements and three loops (D, anti-codon, and T loops).
Source: Rfam